Molecule: unclassified non-coding RNA, 345 nt
Filed under: uncultured fungus
Lineage: Eukaryota; Fungi
Description: partial contains 5.8S ribosomal RNA and internal transcribed spacer 2
Rfam family: 5.8S ribosomal RNA (bases 1-133)
Source: RNAcentral
UGGUUCUGGCAUCGAUGAAGAACGCAGCGAAAUGCGAUAGGUAAUGUGAAUUGCAGAACUCAGUGAAUCAUCGAAUUUUUGAACGCACAUUGCGCCCACCAGUAUUCUGGUGGGCAUGCCUGUUCGAGCGUCAUUUCAACCCCUUAUGCCCUUGUUGCAUAGCGUUGGGGGAUUAUUCUAUUUUUUAUAUAGAAUAACCCCUGAAAGUGAGUGGCGGAGUUGUUUUAUUCUCUGGAUGCAGUAGUUAUAUAUUUUCAUCUCACCAAUAGAAUAAGCCAACAUUUAGCCAGAAAAACGCAUUAUGUUAUAUUGGUUGACCUCGGAUCAGGUAGGAAUACCCGCUGA